This 477-nucleotide ribosomal RNA is filed under the name uncultured bacterium. Its description in RNAcentral is "partial 16S ribosomal RNA". It matches the Rfam family "Bacterial small subunit ribosomal RNA", at positions 29 to 507 of the family's 1533-position model. The record is from RNAcentral.
AUGAACGCUGGCGGCGUGCUUAACACCUGCAAGUCGCACGAGAAGUGGAGACGGAAACCUUCGGGCGGAAGACUUUAUUUCGAGUGGCGGACGGGUGAGUAACGCGUGGGUAACCUGCCUCAUACAGGGGGAUAACAGUUGGAAACGACUGUUAAUACCGCAUAAGACCACAGCACCGCAUGGUGCGGGGGUAAAAACUCCGGUGGUAUGAGAUGGACCCGCGUUCGAUUAGCCAGUUGGCGGGGUAACGGCCCACCAAAGCGACGAUCGAUAGCCGAUCUGAGAGGAUGACCGGCCACAUUGGGACUGAGACACGGCCCACACUCCUACGGGAGGCAGCAGUGGGGAAUAUUGCACAAUGGGGGAAACCCUGAUGCAGCGACGCCGCGUGAGUGAAGAAGUAUUUCGGUAUGUAAAGCUCUAUCAGCAGGGAAGAAAAUGACGGUACCUGAGUAAGAAGCCCCGGCUAACUACGUG